CUGUCGUCAUUUGGACAUUAAAUCAAGCGGUCAACCCUUUAUAUGCUUCUACUUCCCUAAGGGGAGCUUAAUCACAAAGAUAUCGGGUUUUAGAAAAGGUGCUCGAGAAUAUUUUCUGAAAAUUUUCACUAGUGAAAUCCUCGAUUUAAGGAUUGGAUAAUAAAGUACGCGACACGACGAGUUCAUUGGAAUUUUUGGGGAAUUUUCCGGACUUUCAAGCUAUUUUUGGUGAUUUUUGGAAGUUUCAGAUUAAAGAAAAAUAUUUUGGAAAAGCAGAGAUCAACGUGGCGCGAUCCUAGCCAUCCUUAAAUCCACCGACUGAUCACAGCCAUCGAAUAUUAUUUGAAAAAGCCAUAAGUAGGCAUGUAAUCAGAUGAUCCAUCCAGAAGGAUCGAGAGAGAGAACCAGAGUUCUCUGACCUGACGCUACCCGGAGACCCGCAAAGAGGAUCCGACUGGCGCUACUCCGUCCGGCCACAGCACAGCGGCGGACCACUGGAAUUCUCUCCUCCUCGCCAUCGCCGUCACGCCCGUGGCCUCUGAUUGUCCAUGCAUUGAACGAAGAAGGAGAAUCGAAGACCCGAAGCUCCGAGUCUCCUCCGGCGAGUUUCAACGAAUUCCGGCGACUACGGUCACCGAUUAAGCUGCAUGUGGCUAACAAUCGAAAAGAUUUCUGGUUGUUGGCAUCACACUCACCAGCUCAUCUUCGGCAGUGACACAGCUGGGAAAUUGGGUUUUCGUCAUCUCCGAGCAUGGAAGACGUUCUCCUAAAGAGGGCGCGCGGGUGAAUAUUUUACGUGAAAUUCGUCCCGAGUAUUUGGGCUGCUGUUCAGGCGAGUCUUUGAGUCCUUAUUUACUAUUUUCUGCAAUGAAGAUAAAUACAGCUGCGUCACUUCCACAACCCAGACUAACUUUAAUAAGGUCCAUGAGACCAUUAACUCACAGCGGAUGUUAUGGCAUCCAAAUUCGGCACUUUGGCCGCCUGAAGAGGAGUCUUAAAUCCCAACUUUGGUAUUGACACAUCACCCACACCAUCAAUCAACAAAAAUGCCACUCUUCUUUUUAGCUGCUGGGGACGCCGCAUGUAUCUGGGUUUUCAAGAAAAAUGGAAUCUUUUGCUUUUUUUGGUCUCCUCCUUUGUUUGCAACACAGUUUUGUUUCAAAGCAGAGUCACUGGAGCAUCUCACACUUUUGAAAGGCUUCAGUGGCGAUCCUUGUUUGGACCUAGAAAGAGAGAAUUGCUUUUGGAACUGGGCUUGUGGUUUAAGAAUUUGCUAAUCGAUUACAGAGGAAUUGGCUAUGACUGAAGCUCUCUAUCUUUAUAUCUCCACUGUAUUUAUUCUGCAUAAAGGUUCAAACUUGAAAGCAGAGGAGGAUUGAUUCUCAGUACCCAAUCGCAUUACGAUUUUAGAAGCCAUGGAAGUGAAACUUUGUGACAGAUGAACUCACCAACAACAAGAGCGAAACGAUGACGACGACCUCCGGUGACCGAGAUGGAGGUGGGUUUUCAGAUCAGAGGGAGUAAUUUAUUCUCCUUGUUUCGGAGCUCUGAUGGUCUUUGCCUCUUUGGGAUCUCGAAGUGAGAAUGGGAUUGAGAAUUGAGCGCAGAAAGAGAUGGACAAGGCACGUGACUACCAUUCUGUGGGAAUUGUCUUAAACGCCCUCAAGAAAUUACUGUGACGGAGUCAGUUUUUACUGAUAACGGUAGUUAAGUAGGCAAUUACAUCAAUGACCUUUGACUUCAAAACGUAUGGACAUGAUUGAACCACGACUGCUGGGCCCACGAGGGCGCACCCUACGUAGGGUAGGGCGUAUUCCAGCCGCUCCCUUUUGUCAGUUGCAUAGUAUUAUUGUUCCAAGUCAAAAUCAUCUUUUCCAGCUGUUGAUACUAAAAGAGUUCAUUGCUUGUUUUGUACGUAUUGUCAAAAUGUCAAUUAUUGAUAUCUCCUUACCAUGGAAGGACCAUCAAAACCAUCUUUUUCAUCCCCC
Molecule: long non-coding RNA, 1988 nt
Organism: Rosa rugosa (rugosa rose)
Lineage: Eukaryota; Viridiplantae; Streptophyta; Magnoliopsida; Rosales; Rosaceae
Exons: 2
Source: RefSeq, a predicted model, not a curated record